GUAUGCAAUCAUACAAGCACCAAUGCACCGGAUCCCAUCAAAAUUACGCAGUUAAGCGUGCUUGGGCACGAGUCGUACUAUGAUAGGAAACAACGACUUUGAUCUCGAAAAGAUAAAUGGGUUGAAAAAA
This 130-nucleotide ribosomal RNA is filed under the name Beta vulgaris subsp. vulgaris (sugar beet). Lineage: Eukaryota; Viridiplantae; Streptophyta; Magnoliopsida; Caryophyllales; Amaranthaceae. The record is from RNAcentral.